Molecule: ribosomal RNA, 1372 nt
Filed under: uncultured bacterium
Lineage: Bacteria
Description: bacterial SSU rRNA
Rfam family: Bacterial small subunit ribosomal RNA
Source: RNAcentral
GAUGAACGCUGGCGGCGUGCCUAAUACAUGCAAGUCGAGCGAACGGACGAGAAGCUUGCUUCUCUGAUGUUAGCGGCGGACGGGUGAGUAACACGUGGAUAACCUACCUAUAAGACUGGGAUAACUUCGGGAAACCGGAGCUAAUACCGGAUAAUAUUUUGAACCGCAUGGUUCAAAAGUGAAAGACGGUCUUGCUGUCACUUAUAGAUGGAUCCGCGCUGCAUUAGCUAGUUGGUAAGGUAACGGCUUACCAAGGCAACGAUGCAUAGCCGACCUGAGAGGGUGAUCGGCCACACUGGAACUGAGACACGGUCCAGACCCCUACGGGAGGCAGCAGUAGGGAAUCUUCCGCAAUGGGCGAAAGCCUGACGGAGCAACGCCGCGUGAGUGAUGAAGGUCUUCGGAUCGUAAAACUCUGUUAUUAGGGAAGAACAUAUGUGUAAGUAACUGUGCACAUCUUGACGGUACCUAAUCAGAAAGCCACGGCUAACUACGUGCCAGCAGCCGCGGUAAUACGUAGGUGGCAAGCGUUAUCCGGAAUUAUUGGGCGUAAAGCGCGCGUAGGCGGUUUUUUAAGUCUGAUGUGAAAGCCCACGGCUCAACCGUGGAGGGUCAUUGGAAACUGGAAAACUUGAGUGCAGAAGAGGAAAGUGGAAUUCCAUGUGUAGCGGUGAAAUGCGCAGAGAUAUGGAGGAACACCAGUGGCGAAGGCGACUUUCUGGUCUGUAACUGACGCUGAUGUGCGAAAGCGUGGGGAUCAAACAGGAUUAGAUACCCUGGUAGUCCACGCCGUAAACGAUGAGUGCUAAGUGUUAGGGGGUUUCCGCCCCUUAGUGCUGCAGCUAACGCAUUAAGCACUCCGCCUGGGGAGUACGACCGCAAGGUUGAAACUCAAAGGAAUUGACGGGGACCCGCACAAGCGGUGGAGCAUGUGGUUUAAUUCGAAGCAACGCGAAGAACCUUACCAAAUCUUGACAUCCUUUGACAACUCUAGAGAUAGAGCCUUCCCCUUCGGGGGACAAAGUGACAGGUGGUGCAUGGUUGUCGUCAGCUCGUGUCGUGAGAUGUUGGGUUAAGUCCCGCAACGAGCGCAACCCUUAAGCUUAGUUGCCAUCAUUAAGUUGGGCACUCUAAGUUGACUGCCGGUGACAAACCGGAGGAAGGUGGGGAUGACGUCAAAUCAUCAUGCCCCUUAUGAUUUGGGCUACACACGUGCUACAAUGGACAAUACAAAGGGCAGCGAAACCGCGAGGUCAAGCAAAUCCCAUAAAGUUGUUCUCAGUUCGGAUUGUAGUCUGCAACUCGACUACAUGAAGCUGGAAUCGCUAGUAAUCGUAGAUCAGCAUGCUACGGUGAAUACGUUCCCGGGUCU